RNAcentral lists this ribosomal RNA (713 nucleotides) under Cottus hangiongensis. RNAcentral's name for it is "partial small subunit ribosomal RNA". It matches the Rfam family "Bacterial small subunit ribosomal RNA", at positions 513 to 1533 of the family's 1533-position model. The record is from RNAcentral. Lineage: Eukaryota; Metazoa; Chordata; Actinopteri; Perciformes; Cottidae.
CACCGCGGUUAUACGAGAGGCCCAAGUUGACAAACACCGGCGUAAAGCGUGGUUAAGUUAAAAAUCAUACUAAAGCCAAACAUCUUCAAGACUGUUAUACGUAACCGAAGACAGGAAGUCCAACCACGAAAGUCGCUUUAUCUGAUCUGAAUCCACGAAAGCUAAGGAACAAACUGGGAUUAGAUACCCCACUAUGCCUAGCCCUAAACAUUGAUAGUACUCUACACCCACUAUCCGCCCGGGUACUACGAGCAAUAGCUUAAAACCCAAAGGACUUGGCGGUGCUUUAGACCCACCUAGAGGAGCCUGUUCUAGAACCGAUAACCCCCGUUCAACCUCACCCUUUCUUGUUUUACCCGCCUAUAUACCGCCGUCGUCAGCUUACCCUGUGAGGGACUAGUAGUAAGCAGAACUGGUACAGCCUAAAACGUCAGGUCGAGGUGUAGCGUAUGGAAGGGGAAGAAAUGGGCUACAUUCGCUACCGCAGCGAACACGAAUGAUGCACUGAAACACACAUCUGAAGGAGGAUUUAGCAGUAAGCUGGAAAUAGAGCGUCCCGCUGAAACUGGCCCUGAAGCGCGCACACACCGCCCGUCACUCUCCCCAAGAACUCAAGCCAGUUAACUAAAACGUAAUAAUUAAAAAGGGGAGGCAAGUCGUAACAUGGUAAGUGUACCGGAAGGUGCACUUGGUAAAAUCAGAGCGUAGCUAAG